RNAcentral lists this transfer RNA (73 nucleotides) under Mustela putorius furo (domestic ferret). It matches the Rfam family "tRNA". From Rfam's summary of the family: Transfer RNA (tRNA) molecules are approximately 80 nucleotides in length. Their secondary structure includes four short double-helical elements and three loops (D, anti-codon, and T loops). Further hydrogen bonds mediate the characteristic L-shaped molecular structure. tRNAs have two regions of fundamental functional importance: the anti-codon, which is responsible for specific mRNA codon recognition, and the 3' end, to which the tRNAs corresponding amino acid is attached (by aminoacyl-tRNA synthetases). tRNAs cope with the degeneracy of the genetic code in two manners: having more than one tRNA (with a specific anti-codon) for a particular amino acid; and 'wobble' base-pairing, i.e. permitting non-standard base-pairing at the 3rd anti-codon position. Lineage: Eukaryota; Metazoa; Chordata; Mammalia; Carnivora; Mustelidae. The record is from Rfam by way of RNAcentral.
GCCUGGCUGGCUUAGUUGAUAGAGCAUGAAACUCUUGAUCUCAGGGUUGUGAAUUCAAGCCUCAUGCUGGGUG